This 270-nucleotide ribosomal RNA is filed under the name uncultured archaeon. RNAcentral describes it as "partial 16S ribosomal RNA". It matches the Rfam family "Archaeal small subunit ribosomal RNA", at positions 477 to 747 of the family's 1478-position model. The record is from RNAcentral.
CCGCAGCCCGAGUGGUGAUCGUUAUUAUUGGGCCUAAAGCGUCCGUAGCCUGCUUGGUAAAUCCUUGGGUAAAUCGGGCAGCUUAACUGUCCGAAUUCCGGGGAGACUGCCAAGCUUGGGACCGGGAGAGGUCGGAGGUACUCCGGGAGUAGAGGUGAAAUUCUGUAAUCCUCGGGGGACCACCAGUGGCGAAGGCGUCCGACUUGAACGGGUCCGACGGUGAGGGACGAAGCCCUGGGGCACAAACCGGAUUAGAUACCCGAGUAGUCC